This 249-nucleotide ribosomal RNA is filed under the name uncultured Glomeraceae. Its description in RNAcentral is "partial large subunit ribosomal RNA". It matches the Rfam family "Eukaryotic large subunit ribosomal RNA", at positions 359 to 611 of the family's 3401-position model. The record is from RNAcentral. Lineage: Eukaryota; Fungi; Glomeromycota; Glomeromycetes; Glomerales; Glomeraceae.
GAAAGAUGAAAAGAACUUUGAAAAGAGAGUUAAAAAGUACGUGAAAUUGUUGAAAGGGAAACGAUUGAAGUCAGUCGUACCGACGAGAAAUCAGCUUUUCGAAUGUGCAUUUGUGGGCGUAUGAGAUCUUCAUUGUUUGCAAUAUGUAUGUUUCUUUGGUGUAUUUUUUCGUAUGGUAGGUCAAUGUCGGUUUUGAUCGCCAUAAAAUGAUCGGAGGAAUGUAGCUUCGGCCUCGGUUGAAGUGUUAUA